This 253-nucleotide ribosomal RNA is filed under the name uncultured bacterium. Its description in RNAcentral is "partial 16S ribosomal RNA". It matches the Rfam family "Bacterial small subunit ribosomal RNA", at positions 524 to 776 of the family's 1533-position model. The record is from RNAcentral.
UACGUAGGGUGCAAGCGUUGUCCGGAAUUAUUGGGCGUAAAGAGCUUGUAGGCGGUUUGUCGCGUCUGCUGUGAAAUUUCGGGGCUCAACCCCGAACUUGCAGUGGGUACGGGCAGACUAGAGUGUGGUAGGGGAGACUGGAAUUCCUGGUGUAGCGGUGAAAUGCGCAGAUAUCAGGAGGAAUACCGGUGGCGAAAGCGACUCUCUGGACGGUAACUGACGCUGAGGCACGAAAGCGUGGGGAGCAAACAGG